RNAcentral lists this ribosomal RNA (478 nucleotides) under uncultured bacterium. RNAcentral describes it as "partial 16S ribosomal RNA". It matches the Rfam family "Bacterial small subunit ribosomal RNA", at positions 28 to 523 of the family's 1533-position model. The record is from RNAcentral.
GACGAACGCUGGCGGCGUGCUUAACACAUGCAAGUCGAACGGUAAGGCCCUUCGGGGUACACGAGUGGCGAACGGGUGAGUAACACGUGGGUGAUCUGCCCUGCACUUCGGGAUAAGCCUGGGAAACUGGGUCUAAUACCGGAUAGGACCACUGCCUGCAUGGGUGGGGGUGGAAAGCUUUUGCGGUGUGGGAUGCGCCCGCGGCCUAUCAGCUUGUGGGUGGGGUGAUGGCCUACCAAGGCGACGACGGGUAGCCGGCCUGAGAGGGUGACCGGCCACACUGGGACUGAGAUACGGCCCAGACUCCUACGGGAGGCAGCAGUGGGGAAUAUUGCACAAUGGGCGCAAGCCUGAUGCAGCGACGCCGCGUGAGGGAUGACGGCCUUCGGGUUGUAAACCUCUUUCAGCACCGACGAAGCGCAAGUGACGGUAGGUGCAGAAGAAGGACCGGCCAACUACGUGCCAGCCGCCGCGGUAA